CUGCUGCCUCCCGUAGGAGUCUGGGCCGUGUCUCAGUCCCAAUGUGGCCGGCCGCCCUCUCAGGCCGGCUACUGAUCGUCGCUUUGGUGGGCCGUUACCCCGCCAACUGGCUAAUCAGACGCGGGCCCAUCCUGUACCACCGGAGUUUUCAAAGGAUUACCAUGCGGUAUUCCCUAUUAUGCGGUAUUAGCACCUAUUUCUAAGUGUUAUCCCCCGGUACAGGGCAGGUUGCCCACGCGUUACUCACCCGUCCGCCACUAAGACAGAUU
Molecule: ribosomal RNA, 269 nt
Filed under: uncultured bacterium
Lineage: Bacteria
Description: partial 16S ribosomal RNA
Source: RNAcentral